This 497-nucleotide ribosomal RNA is filed under the name uncultured bacterium. RNAcentral's name for it is "partial 16S ribosomal RNA". It matches the Rfam family "Bacterial small subunit ribosomal RNA", at positions 28 to 507 of the family's 1533-position model. The record is from RNAcentral.
GAUGAACGCUGGCGGCGUGCCUAAUACAUGCAAGUCGAGCGAACGGACGAGAAGCUUGCUUCUCUGAUGUUAGCGGCGGACGGGUGAGUAACACGUGGAUAACCUACCUAUAAGACUGGGAUAACUUCGGGAAACCGUAGCUAAUACCGGAUAAUAUUUUGAACCGCAUGGUUCAAAAGUGAAAGACGGUCUUGCUGUCACUUAUAGAUGGAUCCGCGCUGCAUUAGCUAGUUGGUAAGGUAACGGCUUACCAAGGCAACGAUGCAUAGCCGACCUGAGAGGGUGAUCGGCCACACUGGAACUGAGACACGGUCCAGACCCCUACGGGAGGCAGCAGUAGGGAAUCUUCCGCAAUGGGCGAAAGCCUGACGGAGCAACGCCGCGUGAGUGAUGAAGGUCUUCGGAUCGUAAAACUCUGUUAUUAGGGAAGAACAUAUGUGUAAGUAACUGUGCACAUCUUGACGGUUCCUAAUCAGAAAGCCACGGCUAACUACGUG